Molecule: unclassified non-coding RNA, 337 nt
Filed under: soil metagenome
Description: partial contains 5.8S ribosomal RNA, internal transcribed spacer 2, and large subunit ribosomal RNA
Rfam family: 5.8S ribosomal RNA (bases 1-120)
Source: RNAcentral
GAUGAAGAACGUAGCGAAAUGCGAUAAGUAAUGUGAAUUGCAGAAUUCAGUGAAUCAUCGAAUCUUUGAACGCACAUUGCGCCCGCCAGUAUUCUGGCGGGCAUGCCUGUUCGAGCGUCAUUUCAACCAUCAAGCCCCCGGCUUGUGUUGGGGACCUGCGGCUGCCGCAGGCCCUGAAAAGCAGUGGCGGGCUCGCUGUCACACCGAGCGUAGUAGAUUUCAUCUCGCUCAGGGCGUGCUGCGGGUUCCGGCCGUUAAACCACCUUCAUAACCCAAGGUUGACCUCGGAUCAGGUAGGAAGACCCGCUGAACUUAAGCAUAUCAAUAAGCGGAAGGA